Molecule: ribosomal RNA, 230 nt
Filed under: uncultured bacterium
Lineage: Bacteria
Description: partial 16S ribosomal RNA
Rfam family: Bacterial small subunit ribosomal RNA
Source: RNAcentral
CGGACGGGUGAGUAAUGUCUGGGAACUGCCUGAUGGAGGGGGGUAACUACUGGAAACGGUAGCUAAUACCGCAUAACGCGCAAGACCAAAGAGGGGGACCUUAGGGCCUCUUGCCAUCGGAUGUGCCCAGAUGGGAUUAGCUAGUAGGUGGGGUAACGGCUCACCUAGGCGACGAUCCCUAGCUGGUCUGAGAGGAUGACCAGCCACACUGGAACUGAGACACGGUCCAG